This is a non-coding RNA of Mycena maculata, 96 nucleotides long. NCBI's taxonomy places the organism in Eukaryota, Fungi, Basidiomycota, Agaricomycetes, Agaricales, Mycenaceae. The record is from the annotation of a GenBank genome assembly.
UCCCUCUUAGCUCAGUUGGUAGAGCGCGUCACUAGUAUUGCAAAAGCCACAUUUUGUGCUAUGACGAGGUCAGUCGUUCAAAUCGGCUAGCGGGAA